RNAcentral lists this ribosomal RNA (426 nucleotides) under uncultured bacterium. RNAcentral's name for it is "bacterial SSU rRNA". It matches the Rfam family "Bacterial small subunit ribosomal RNA", at positions 356 to 774 of the family's 1533-position model. The record is from RNAcentral.
GGGGAAUCUUCCGCAAUGGACGAAAGUCUGACGGAGCAACGCCGCGUGAGUGAAGAAGGCCUUCGGGUUGUAAAGCUCUGUCUUUGGGGACGAACGUGCCUAUCAUAAAUAAUGAUAGGUAAUGACGGUACCUAAGGAGGAAGCCACGGCUAACUACGUGCCAGCAGCCGCGGUAAUACGUAGGUGGCAAGCGUUGUCCGGAAUUAUUGGGCGUAAAGCGCGCGCAGGCGGGAUAUCAAGUCUAUCUUAAAAGUUCGGGGCUCAACCCCGUGAUGGGAUGGAAACUGGUAUUCUUGAGUGUCGGAGAGGAAAGUGGAAUUCCCAGUGUAGCGGUGAAAUGCGUAGAUAUUGGGAGGAACACCAGUGGCGAAGGCGACUUUCUGGACGAUGUCUGACGCUGAGGCGCGAAAGCCAGGGGAGUGAACG